UAAGCGGAGGAAAAGAAACUAACUAGGAUUCCCUUAGUAACGGCGAGUGAACCGGGAUGAGCUCAAAUUUAAAAUCUGGCGUCUUUCAGGCGUCCGAGUUGUAAUCUAUAGAGGCGUUUUCCGCGCCGGACCGCGUCCAAGUCUCUUGGAAUAGAGUAUCAAAGAGGGUGACAAUCCCGUACUUGACGCGACAACCGGUGCUCUGUGAUACGUUCUCAAUGAGUCGAGUUGUUUGGGAAUGCAGCUCUAAAUGGGUGGUAAAUUCCAUCUAAGGCUAAAUAUUGGCGAGAGACCGAUAGCGAACAAGUACCGUGAGGGAAAGAUGAAAAGCACUUUGGAAAGAGAGUUAAACAGCACGUGAAAUUGUUAAAAGGGAAACGAUUGAAGUCAGUCGUGUGAAAGGUAUUCAGCCGUCUCUGGCGGUGUAUUUGCCUUUCACGGGUCAACAUCAGUUUGAUCCGGUAGAAAAAGGCGGGAGGAAGGUGGCACCCUCGGGUGUGUUAUAGCCUCCUGUCAUAUGUGCCGGACCAGACUGAGGAACGCAGCUUGCCGCAAGGCCGGGGUUCGCCCACGUACAAGCUUAGGAUGUUGACAUAA
This 597-nucleotide ribosomal RNA is filed under the name Vishniacozyma victoriae. RNAcentral describes it as "eukaryotic LSU rRNA". It matches the Rfam family "Eukaryotic large subunit ribosomal RNA", at positions 47 to 634 of the family's 3401-position model. The record is from RNAcentral. Lineage: Eukaryota; Fungi; Basidiomycota; Tremellomycetes; Tremellales; Bulleribasidiaceae.